RNAcentral lists this transfer-messenger RNA (355 nucleotides) under Candidatus Saccharimonadota bacterium. It matches the Rfam family "transfer-messenger RNA". Rfam says of the family: Bacterial tmRNA, also known as 10Sa RNA or SsrA, is named for its dual tRNA and mRNA-like properties. The record is from RNAcentral. RNAcentral also lists the same sequence under 1 other name. Lineage: Bacteria; Candidatus Saccharimonadota.
GGGGCUGACAAAGCUUAGACGGAUCAUUAACAAGCAUAAGGCAUACCGAUUAAAUACCGUAAGUAUUAAUAAGUGCUAAAAACACAAAAACUGCGCAUGUCAUGUACAUGCCAGCCUAUGCCUAAUUUAUUCUAGGCUGGUUCACGCGUGAGAUUCCGUAGCGCACGAAUUAUCAUACAACGGGAUUAAGGCCGUUUUAGCGGCGAAAAGCGGCACGAAAAUUUAGCCACGGCAGUUACCAGUUUCGUUUCUUGCAGCUAGUAGCACACGCCAAAACCAAAACAGGAAACUAUGUAUGUAGAAUUAUGCUCACGUGAUGACUCGGACCCGGAGGCAGUAUCCGGCAGCUCCACCA